GCUCACUUCAGCAACGCAUAUACUAAAAUUGGAAUGAUACAGAGAUUAGCAUGGGUCCUGUGUAAGGAUAAACAUACAAAUUUAUCAAGUGUUCCAUGUUUAA
This is a small nuclear RNA of Hyaena hyaena (striped hyena), 103 nucleotides long. NCBI's taxonomy places the organism in Eukaryota, Metazoa, Chordata, Mammalia, Carnivora, Hyaenidae. The record is from RefSeq and is a predicted model, not a curated record.